GGGCACAUAUUGUCUAAUAUGCUAUUAUUCAUCUGUGCUAAGGAUUAUUUCUCUCUCUCUUUCAUUGGAGCUCUCACUUUGAUCUCUCCUGCAGGCCCAUACGCACACACAUGCACUCAGUUACUGAGAACAGCAGAACAGAUGCAGGCCUAAAAGAGUGCUUAUUUAUUAAAGUUCCCUAGUCUUCUUCCACCUUACUUAUACAACCUGCCUGACAGGUACUCAUGAUUCAUUUAGUGUGUUCAUCGUUACAAAAAACAUUCCUCCUCCUUGUUAUUUAUUAUAUAAAAAUACAAUCUCAGCCUGAAGAUAAUUGCUAUCGAACAAAUGUACUUUUUUCUGUUUUGGAUAAGAAAAUUUGGUAACUACUUGUUCAGAUAAAUGCCCCCCACGGAAUUAGAUUUGUGAACAUGACAACAAAACAGCAAAAGUUUGGUACAACCUUUAGUGCUAUCAGUACAAAAGUAGAGGGGGAGAGGAAUACCAUGAAAUCAACAAGGAAUAACUGGCAAACCUGACUUUUUGAGAAACAACAACUUGGAAGCAGUCUCAGAUAUGAUCAGAACGUAUCUCUUCAUAGCACUCUGAAGCUGUUAAGAUAUUGUCAAUUCAAUUUGAAAUCUAUACACUAGUUUGUACCUCAGUAGAAUCAGGUGGUUUUUCGCUCGGACAAAACUAGUGUCUACCGUACUGCUAGAGAUCUAAAUCGAAGGCAGAACUGGCAAAGGCAGCAGGACAGAUUCUCCCCCUCUCCAUAAUAUUUAACAGAAGUUUUCAUUAGCAUUAUUCAUUCAACUGCUGUGUGAUUUGCUGCUUUCUAUUGCAUAACCUCGGAACAUUAUGUUACGUUCGGUCAGAGGCCUGCAAAACCUAAUGAGCAAGCCUCGAUUCCCGGAUUAGUUGUUUGGCCACAUGCCACAUACCCUGAUAUUGCCACAGAGAAGGAAACGGGAGGCAUUCAGAGCGAAGACCUUGAAGCCAAGGUUCAUGCUUGGUUAACAGUAGAUCAGCACCCACUUAGAUGACUAAAGCCACUUCUGAGGUGGUGGUUAGUAUCCGAGGAGCAGUUGGGGGGGGGGAGUGCCUUACCUUUUCCCUGCACAUGGCUGCUCUUCUCCAAUGUCCAGUAUAGAGUUGUUGUUGUGUGGGUUUGUUUUUUUUUAAACCCACAUUUCCCAACUUUUAAUAUUCCAUUGGGAGAAAAAGCACUUGGGAAGGCAAUCUGGAGUGGUUUGGGAGAGGGCAUUCUCUGUGACAGUCCCUAGGGUGUGUAGUUCCCUCCUCACAGAGGUGUGUAUGAUGAUUUCCUUGCAUAGCUUUCAUUGUUUGCUGAAGACUGGCCUCUUUACCCUGGCCUUUGACACCCGAUACCCUUUUAAGGCCUGUGCUCAUGUAAAUUGUCUUAACUGACUUUAAUACUGUAUUUUUAUAUUGUUGUAACCUGUCCUGGGACCUUAUGAUGAAGGGCAGGUAAGGAAAGCAAGAGAGAAGGAAGGAAGAGAGAAGGGCAGGAGUGGGAAAAUGGAGAGGGGUGGUGGUGAAACGGAUGGAUCAAAGCAGGAGGAAAUAAAAGUCAUCUGCAAGUGAUCAGUUGAGACCUGGCAAGAGCAUUCUGUCCCAUUCCCAGCAACCUUCUUGGGACAGGGCAAGGGGAAGAGAAGGAGAAUGGGGUGCACUCCACCCACUUUUGACUCUGGAACCACCACACUUACUUUAGCCCCCUGCCCCAGCAGAUGACACCCGAGACAGGAAAGAGGUUCCACACCACUGAGAUGAAGGGUUGGGGUGGGGAUUCUCAGAUUAAAAACAGGCAUUAAACAGCAAGCAGUCCUAUCAUAUUACUUCUUCAACAUCAGCACAGAAGUUAGCUAAUUUGUUUUCAGUGUCAAUUCCACCAUGCUUCUUGCACAUGAAAGAAGCUAAACUAAACUUUGAAUAUGAAUUUUUAUAGUGGGGUUUCACCCAGACUGUUUCUUUUCAGCAAUUACGUUUGGUAAGGUCCUUUGCCUGGGAGGUGAAAUGUGUUAUAUUUUUAGAAAUAAAUAUGUGAUGUCUACAAAACAACGAUGCAUCACCAUUUCCAAGAAACUUGCAUAAGAUUUCCUUACUAUUUAAGGAAUCUAGAACAUUGUUUUGCUUUCAAGGAACUGAAGCUGCCUUGGUUCUAAAAUAACUUACCAUCAUCCCCCCCCCCCCACCACAGGGGGAUAUAUCUGAGGAAGACUGUGGAAACAAUAUGUGGAAUUACAAAUCUGCAUGGAUAUGGCAGGAAAUCAAUGAAGGCUGGAAAUAGAUCCCUGCACAUUCAGUUUUGUGGAUUUUCCCUGCAUCACCUAUGUAAAUUUUGGAACUUUCCCCCCCCACAGUGUAAGAUGUCUGCUAAAUCUUACUGAUUACAGUUUUUGGCAACUGUUAACUUUAGUGGAAUAAUGUAGUGAGUGUGCAAUAUUGCCAGCAAGUUUUUUUUUAUAUGUCAGGCAAAUUACCCUCAUUUCCCCCCCACCAUGAGAAAGUUAAACACCUGCUUGCUGAAAGUUAACAAAUGGGGGUAGUCAUUCAUUAUUGCCUGGGGUAAGGGGCAGUAUGUGGGUUUUACUAAGGGGACCCUUUUCAUAUAACUCUGCAACUUAGUAUGAAACAAGUGCAUACAUUUUUAGACUGUGAGUAGACUUAAGUUAUUCAUGAAUGAAACAGCCUGAUUCAGGUCAUGAGAGGCCAACUGUAUGCAUUCCAGAUGUAGCUGGCUUCAGAGGGACCAUUUUUGUGCAUGAAAUGAAUGUGCAUGUUUAAAUCUUCACACAACUAAGCUGCUAUUACAGCCACUCCAACUUAAGUAUGACACUGGAGAAUGUUGUGAAUGGAAGAUAUAAUAAACUGUGGUGACAAGAUAAAAAUAUUCUGCAGUACUAACACUACAUGGUAAUUUCAAGAAUCUUUCUUCUUGCAUGUCUGAAGAACUGAACAAAUACAAAUGCAAUAUGUUGUUAGAGCUGUGGAGGUAGGUACCAUAUUUGUGAUGGGAUGCAACAUCAUUUCAGCCUGAAGAAGUGAUAACCUUGAGUGAGGCCCUGUUCCAUGACCACUCAACAAUUUUCUCUAUUACAAAUCCAUUUUUGUCCAAGAACAGUGACUUUGAAAGAGCCUGCUCCUUUUCAUUAAUGCCUUGGCACAUCACACCUUCCUUGAAGGCUGAGAAGCAGUUUGACUUGCUUCAGAUCCCUUUUCUUUCUUUUUUAAACAGUACCAAGGUGUCUCUUGCACCACUAAUGGUGCUCUCAUUCCUCUCUGGACAGACGGGCUCUCUGUGUCUAGAAUCUGCAAGGAAUAAUUACAUUUGGGGGAAAUGUCCUCUGUCCUGAUUUUGAAGGAGUGUGAUAACAUGCUUUAUUAUUACUGUCUAUGGGCACAGUUCAUAGCAAUGCACUCUCUCGUGAUGGGUAAUAUGGUGACAGUGGGAAUGAUGGAGUAAUGCCACCUGCUUUACCAUAAAGAAUUGCCUACUUAUUAGAAUCAAGAAGAGGCCCAUAACUUUAAACAAAUUAUUUGAACUGACUAGAAAUAAUUAAAUACAUGCUUGAGAAGGGGGUGUGGUGUUUUGGGUUUGAAGGAAGCCGGUGGAGAUUGGUAAAAUAUUUGGUUUGUUUGUCCAUUAGUAUGAGAGUUCACCUUGCACGGAAGAACUUUUUAAAAAAUGAGUUAUUUAUAUAACAGCUUGUAAUUUAAUAAGCUCAUUAUUCAUUAGCAGCUCUGUGAUGUAGGCAUUUCUUCUACAUAGCUAAUCAAGAAUUGAGGUUGCAAUGUGAAAAAAUCUGAAUACAAUUUGCAGUUCUUUUAAAGCAAUAAUUAUAUAUUAGAGCUGCUACAUUUUGUUUCUUAGUUGGUGCUAAAAAAAAUCCCUUUGUUGUAGGAAUUUUGAUCAGAAUUUUUAAAAAAUGGUAUUUUGGAAUGUAGCUAGCUCACUGUAUGAUAAUUCGGAUAUACUUCAUUGUACUAAAUUCCAUUUUCACUUCAAACGAAGGGUCAAAAAGUCAGUGGAAAUGUUCAAGGACUCUAGAGUAAGGAUAUCUCACCCUACAGUUAGAGCCAAUAAAUGGUUCAGUUAAUCUUUUCGCCUCUUUUUCUGAACUACUUAGAAACAAAUUGAUUCUUGGCGGAUAGGAGGGCACAAGUAGCGCUUCAGGAAGAACAUAGUGCUUCUCUUUUUGUAGAGUAUACUGGCAGUGAAUGGGUUUUCUUGCUUGUUCUGCAGGGAGACCGCAUUUUGAUUUAAAGUUAUGAGUCACAGUAUCUGAGGCUUGGAGGCGAACACACUAUCUGUAAACAGCAGCCAAAGGGCACACACUUCUGCUUUUGCAAUUGGCAAAGUCUCCUCCUUACUGCUUU
Molecule: non-coding RNA, 4383 nt
Organism: Podarcis lilfordi (Lilford's wall lizard)
Lineage: Eukaryota; Metazoa; Chordata; Lepidosauria; Squamata; Lacertidae
Source: the annotation of a GenBank genome assembly